GCUUCGCUAUAGUAGGUUUUACUUACUGGAUGCAGCAAUUAGGAUGGAACUACAGCAUAUUUACGGAAAACAGGUGGAGUUGCUGAUAAAGCACUGAAAGAACAGAAGACGAGAGACCUACUGUACAAAGAGACAGAGCAGGUGGCCGUUACAAUGAUAAAGAGUCGAGCAGCUGCUGACUGAAGAAGCCUCUGUGUUUUGGUCAGGUCGGGUUAUGUUGUGUCUCCUCUGCAGGGAACCGAGGGAAACCAUCAGCAGAUCUGAGGCUGCAAACAGGCAGUGGGAUCCGUCUGACCUUCACUUUAACUGAUACCUCCUGCUUAAACACAAACAAACACAUCUAUCCUUUAAAUACACUUGAAGAAUAGCCCAGUUUUAUCAAGCAGCAGUAAAACACCGGUGACAUUUUGUUAAAGCAAAGAUCUGUUAUUUUAAGCUCAAGCUGAAGGGAGCUCACGGGAAGCAGUGUGUGGAUAUUUUACAUUCUCCUCUGUGAGUUCUUGAGGCACUCUUGCUAUGUACAAUUUCAAAAUGUGUUAUAAAAAUGUAACCGGACCAGUCAAAAACAUGAGUAGCAAUGCACUGUGAGGUAAAACCCAGAGCUU
Molecule: non-coding RNA, 605 nt
Organism: Danio rerio (zebrafish)
Lineage: Eukaryota; Metazoa; Chordata; Actinopteri; Cypriniformes; Danionidae
Source: RefSeq, a predicted model, not a curated record